This 525-nucleotide ribosomal RNA is filed under the name uncultured bacterium. RNAcentral describes it as "bacterial SSU rRNA". It matches the Rfam family "Bacterial small subunit ribosomal RNA", at positions 355 to 895 of the family's 1533-position model. The record is from RNAcentral.
UGGGGAAUCUUGGACAAUGGGGGCAACCCUGAUCCAGCCAUGCCGCGUGAGUGAUGAAGGCCUUAGGGUCGUAAAGCUCUUUCGCCUGUGAAGAUAAUGACGGUAGCAGGUAAAGAAACCCCGGCUAACUCCGUGCCAGCAGCCGCGGUAAUACGGAGGGGGUUAGCGUUGUUCGGAAUUACUGGGCGUAAAGCGCACGUAGGCGGAUCGGAAAGUUGGGGGUGAAAUCCCGGGGGCUCAACCCCGGGAACGGCCUCCAAAACUAUCGGUCUAGAGUUCGAGAGAGGUGAGUGGAAUUCCGAGUGUAGAGGUGAAAUUCGUAGAUAUUCGGAGGAACACCAGUGGCGAAGGCGGCUCACUGGCUCGAUACUGACGCUGAGGUGCGAAAGUGUGGGGGAGCAAACAGGAUUAGAUACCCUGGUAGUCCACACCGUAAACGAUGAAUGCCAGUCGUCGGAUAGUAUACUAUUCGGUGACACACCUAACGGAUUAAGCAUUCCGCCUGGGGAGUACGGUCGCAAGAUU